This 1131-nucleotide unclassified non-coding RNA is filed under the name Bombus terrestris (buff-tailed bumblebee). RNAcentral describes it as "misc RNA ENSBTSG00005025288.1". The record is from RNAcentral. Lineage: Eukaryota; Metazoa; Arthropoda; Insecta; Hymenoptera; Apidae.
AAAUCAGUCUAACGAUCCGCAAGCGAUAAAAUAACAAAAGCGCACUGAGUUUAAGGAAAGGAAGAAAAUGUAGGUUAAUUGGAAGAAACUGCUUUUACGGUAGAACAGGGAACGCGUCUCGAAAUUGAUGGAAGACGGAAUUCCAUAAUGCCGAUUUAAACUGACUAAACGAGAAUAAAGAAAAUAGAGCCAAAUAUUUUUGAUUAUAUUUAUGAAAAGCAAUCUAUAUUAUAUGCAGACCGAAAGAAGAAUUCACCACAUUCGAGUACGAGAGAAAACCUGUGGAAUAUUGGAAUAGCGUGGAAUGGAAGGAAUUGCAAGUUGGAAAAAGCGAGCGUAAGCACAAGCCACUGUGUCGAUUUAAAUUGGUACGAUAGUGUGCAUAUUUUCAGCGCACGCGACUGCCUAAUAAGCUUUAUUUGCUUCCGUCGGCAUAGCACUAUAUUUAAGAGAGAAUAGCGUGGUUCGUGGUGGCGGCGAGGCGCCAGGUAACGUAAAUAUCAGCCAGCAUUAUUAAUAACCCAAGGUAAUUUUACGUAAUUGAAAAUGCCUAAGAAGGGUCGUGCCGGUAUUUUCCUCCGUGGGUAUUCUCUCGCUCCUGAACUUAAUGGCGGUCUUCUUUCCGUUCCUUGGUACUCAUAGCCUGCGAAAGUUUGCCAACAGGGCACGAUGAAAUCCCCCUUGGGCCUCUGAUUUUUCAUUUUCACGACGUUAAACGUAUGUAUUUCGCCAAAAGCUACAAUUUAUUUGCCCCUUGUUUCGAUGUUUGAUAAUACAUGUGGCAAGUAAAUAAGCAAGUAUCGUGUAAAGUCGUGCAUUAGUCGUCGAUAUACGAAAUCUUAUUUCUAUUACUAUCCUCGAUAUAAUACUGCCGUGUACAAUAAAAGACGCUUUACAUUGCCAAUAAAAGAUGCCAGCUUUUAAUUCGUCCAAGAAUUAUCGACUUAAUCGUUAUUCUGCGUGCCGUAAAGUAUGACGCAGCCAUUUUCAAAUAGUUCCGAAUAGUUCUUACGUUCGUAUAUAUUAUAAUUUUAAUUUAAUCGUACGUAUAACGACGUUAUACGUAUACUAAAUACAUAUCACUUUGAUUGUUUAUUGAAAGCAUCUCUGUGAAUAAAAACUCAAUUAUGA